AAUGAACGUUGGCGGCGUGGAUUAGGCAUGCAAGUCGAGCGAGAAGCCUCCUUCGGGAGGUGGACAGCGGCAAACGGGAUAGUAAGGCAUCGGUAACGCACCCCCAGGACCGGGAUAGCCGAGGGAAACUUCGGGUAAUACCGGAUAAUAUCUCCGGAUCAAAUGGUGAGAUUCCGCCUGGGGACCGGCUGAUGUGAUACCAGCUAGUUGGUAAGGUAACGGCUUACCAAGGCUUAGACGUCUAGGGGGUGUGAGAGCAUGGCCCCCAUCACUGGGACUGAGACACUGCCCAGACACCUACGGGUGGCUGCAGUCGAGAAUCUUCGGCAAUGGGCGAAAGCCUGACCGAGCGACGCCGCGUGCGGGAUGACGGCCCUUGGGUUGUAAACCGCUGUCAGAGGGGAUGAAAUUCCAGGAAGCUAUCUUCUUGGAUUGACAAAGCCUCAGAGGAAGCCCGGGCUAAGUACGUGCCAGCAGCCGCAGUAAUA
This 488-nucleotide ribosomal RNA is filed under the name uncultured bacterium. RNAcentral's name for it is "bacterial SSU rRNA". It matches the Rfam family "Bacterial small subunit ribosomal RNA", at positions 29 to 525 of the family's 1533-position model. The record is from RNAcentral.